RNAcentral lists this ribosomal RNA (532 nucleotides) under Filobasidium magnum. RNAcentral's name for it is "LSU rRNA". It matches the Rfam family "Eukaryotic large subunit ribosomal RNA", at positions 89 to 619 of the family's 3401-position model. Lineage: Eukaryota; Fungi; Basidiomycota; Tremellomycetes; Filobasidiales; Filobasidiaceae. The record is from RNAcentral.
GCGAGUGAAGCGGGAAGAGCUCAAAUUUGAAAUCUGGUGGCCUCAGGUCAUCCGAGUUGUAAUCUAUAGAAGUGUUUUCCGUGCUGGCUCAUGUACAAGUCCCUUGGAACAGGGCGUCAUAGAGGGUGAGAAUCCCGUCCUUGACAUGAACUACCAGUGCUCUGUGAUACAUUUUCAACGAGUCGAGUUGUUUGGGAAUGCAGCUCAAAAUGGGUGGUAAAUUCCAUCUAAAGCUAAAUAUUGGCGAGAGACCGAUAGCGAACAAGUACCGUGAGGGAAAGAUGAAAAGCACUUUGGAAAGAGAGUUAAACAGUAUGUGAAAUUGUUGAAAGGGAAACGAUUGAAGUCAGUCGUGCUCUUUGGAUUCAGCCGGUUCUGCCGGUGUACUUCCUUUGAGUGGGGUCAACAUCAGUUUUGAUCGCUGGAUAAAGGCUGGAGGAACGUAGUACCCUCGGGUAAACUUAUAGCCUCCUGUCACAUACAGUGGUUGGGACUGAGGAACGCAGCACGCCUUUAUGGCCGGGAUUCGUCC